Molecule: ribosomal RNA, 827 nt
Filed under: uncultured bacterium
Lineage: Bacteria
Description: bacterial SSU rRNA
Rfam family: Bacterial small subunit ribosomal RNA
Source: RNAcentral
AGAGUUUGAUCAUGGCACAGGACGAACGCUGGCGGCGUGCCUAACACAUGCAAGUCUUGGGAGAAAAAGGUAGCAAUAUCUUGAGUAAACCGGCGCAAGGGUGAGUAACACGUAGGUAAUCUACCUAGAGGACGGGAAUAACUUCGAGAAAUCGAGGCUAAUGCCCGAUGAUAUUCUGUUACAGCAUUGUAAUGGAAUCAAAGCCGUAAGGUGCCUUUAGAUGAACCUGCGUCCCAUUAGGUAGUUGGUGAGGUAACGGCUCACCAAGCCAACGAUGGGUAGCUGGUCUGAGAGGACGAUCAGCCACACUGGAACUGAGACACGGUCCAGACUCCUACGGGAGGCAGCAGUGAGGAAUAUUGCGCAAUGCCCGAAAGGGUGACGCAGCGACGCCGCGUGGAGGAUGAAGGCCCUACGGGUCGUAAACUCCUUUUAUGAGGGAAUAAUUUCUCGCUAUAGGCGAGAUUGAAUGUACCUCAAGAAAAAGCAUCGGCUAACUACGUGCCAGCAGCCGCGGUAAUACGUAGGAUGCUAGCGUUGUCCGGAUUUACUGGGUGUAAAGGGAGCGCAGGCGGGUUGGUAAGUCGGUGGUGAAAUUCUCAGGCUUAACCUGAGGACUGCCAUCGAUACUGCUAAUCUUGAGUGCAGAAGAGGUUGAUGGAAUUCUAGGUGUAGCGGUGAAAUGCGUAGAUAUCUAGAAGAACACCGAUGGCGAAGGCAGUCAACUGGUCUGCUACUGACGCUCAUGCUCGAAAGCGUGGGGAUCAAACAGGAUUAGAUACCCUGGUAGUCCACGCCCUAAACGAUGAAUACUCGAUGUCGGCUCG